Molecule: ribosomal RNA, 118 nt
Filed under: Pteropus alecto (black flying fox)
Lineage: Eukaryota; Metazoa; Chordata; Mammalia; Chiroptera; Pteropodidae
Source: RNAcentral
GUCUACAACCAUGCCACCCUGAACAAACCCGAUUCGUCUGAUCUCAGAAGCUAAGCAGGAUCGGGCCUGGUUAGUACUUGGAUGGGAGACAAUCUAGAAAGACCAAGGGCUGUAGGCA